Molecule: long non-coding RNA, 40542 nt
Filed under: Brassica napus (rape)
Lineage: Eukaryota; Viridiplantae; Streptophyta; Magnoliopsida; Brassicales; Brassicaceae
Description: long non-coding RNA (BNAP_LNC000217)
Rfam family: tRNA (bases 7937-8009)
Source: RNAcentral
CUGUUCGAGUUCUUGACUAUAGCUAUCAUCCCCGGCAUGAGAAGCGGUAGCUCUGGAGCUCUCGGCUUCUUCUCCGUACCAAUUGCUGACACAACAUCACCGCUUCCUCGCUUCGUUGGUGGUGGUGGAGGUGGUGGGUUUUGUUCGAUGAACGUUUUGAGUCCCUUUUCGCCACCGGGGAAUCCUCCGGUGAGGCCCAUCAUCUCUUUCUCAAAACCGUCUUCAGGAACUUGGAAGGACAAGCUGUUGUCAUCGCUCUCUUUCUUUGUCUGGUUCUCAGGCUUCGAUGACUCUUCCUCUAUGUUCCUCUGGAGCUCCUUCUCGAUACCUUUCUCUCCGUUGCAUAGUCCUCUUCCUCCCAGCACCUCCCAUAGAUUGAACUUACCCAUGGCCUUUACUCGAUGAACGUUUGAUAGGUGCUUUGCAGGCGGGAAAACCGAUCGGUUUGGAGUUGAAAAGAGAUGGGUCCGGCCGAGAAACUUGGUGCCCCGAAUGGUUGGUAUAGUGAUCGAAGAAGUCGCCAUUAUGAGAAUUAUUAGUUUAGAGGAAAGGAAAGAUAGGAGGAAGAAGAAGAAGAAGAAGAAGCGUGAUCUGCUUUGUCAUAAAGACCACAUAUCAUGAUUUCAGUUGGAUGAGUUUCUAUCUAUUUCCCAACCUGAUCCCGGUUACUGCCUAACCGGAAGGGUAGUAACAUUUGGGCUUUCACAUAAGUUAUAAAGUGGACCUUAUUCGAUUCUUUAUUUCAUUUAUUAUGGGCCUUGAAUUAAAACAUAUUGCUAUCUUUGUUUUGUUUUUCUAUAUAUUAUAAAAAAAGACAGCAAGAAAAAGAAUAUAAAAAGGGUUGAGUUAUUGCUAAUUUGCUACAGCAAUAUAUUUUCUACAACAAAAAAAAAAAAUAGAAGUUUUAAAAAAUAAAGCUGCAGAUAAAAAUUAAAGAUAAAAUCAUUUGGUCAACGACAUUAACAAUUGGCAUCCCAUUCUCUCAAAUAAUCAUCAUCAUAGAAUACUUUUGUAUUAAGAACAGAAACAACAGUUUCGUGUUUCCCCUAAUAUAUUUUCUUUUUUUGUUGGGUUUAACAUUCACCUUCACCUUCUCCUUGGAUCAGGUAUAGCUGUAAGUUAUCGAUUUUUGUUCGAGGUAACUUGUUAGCACAUAAAUAUUGCUAAACAAGUGGAAACUUUGAGUUCCAGCUGAUAUCAUUAGUAUUUUGUGGGUGCUUUUGUUUAGAGCAGGUCUCGCAGAAAACUGAACAGAGCAGCACUUAUGUUGAAUUUGUUCACUCUUCUUCGUCUGCCUUGGGUUUCACAUGGUCAAGAGAAUGUUCCCUCCCUUCUCGCACCUUUCUUCAUUCCUUGUUUUUGAUUCAUGAGAAUAGUUUCUCCUGAUCAUACUUAUUGGUAGGUAGAGCUAUGAGAAGCAGAGUUAGAAUUACUUUAAUCAGAACUUUCUGACUUAUAAGAAAGAGAGAAUCUUACCUCAAAGCACAGUAACUCAUUUGCUCCAAAACUGUUUCCCAUACUCUUAUAAAAAAAACUGUUACAUCUCAAUUUUUUUCUUUCUUAUCUACUCCUUGCAUAGGUUGGAACAUGUGGAUGAAGUCUUGCGCUCUGCUCGUUUAUCUGGCUAUUGUAUAUCUGAAGUGUGGGGUCUUACUCCACAACACUUCCCAUUGAUCCGUAAGGUUCGCGGUAGUGUAUAUUUUAUUUACAUAUUAUCUCCCCUUUGUUAACUUCAGCGUUGGGCAGCUCUCCCGAGUCCCGGGUGAACCACCUCCAUUAGACAAUGCAGAAGUAGAAGACUGGCUUCCUCGGUUUGUCGUCCUUCAAGCCGCUUGUCUUUUCUUCUAUUUAUUAUCAGCAGGUAAGUUAAGUUUCACUUCUUGUUAGUGUUUCUUGAAACUCUCCAAUAUUGUAGAUUUGAGCCCUCAAGAUUCAAUAUUGCUAGCGGAUAUUGUUGAAGUUGGUUCGUUACCAAGCUACACACAAGAGAGUUCGAUAGUUCGAUGAAAGCCAUCAUUGCUUUUAUAUCUUAACCCGUCAAGGUCUACGAUUCCAGUGCUCAAGCGCUUCUAAAUCACAGGUGAACCAAGAUAUGUACAUCUUUACAGUUUACACACAUGUUCUUUUUUGAGAGAUCAUGCAACAUUUGUUUUUUUUUGGUAUCAUAUUAUGUUGUUGCUUUGUAACUUUGGUGUGAAAAUAGCUGUGUCACGCCAUUCACGUGCUUAGUUUGAUGCUUUUCUUGUUAUCUCUCUCUUGAUUCCAUCUGAUUUAGCAGCUAAAGACUGGAAUAUAUUCGUUUCUUGGAUAGGGCAAUGAAUCUUGUUGGAAAAAAGAAGUGUAUACAAAUGGCAAUAAAUCCUGCUCCAAUUAAACCAUAAACCGGUUCGACCAGAUCCGAUUUGAUCGAAGUAUAUGCAUGCUUUGUAUAAAAACCUCCAACAGGGUUCACAUUCUCUGUUCCUAAAUACUAACACAUCACUCUUCUUGUCAGCCUUGUUGCCUCGUACACUCAAGAGAUGAGCUCCCAAAUCUGCAGAUCAGCUACUAGGGCAGCAAGGUCUCUUCUUUCUUCAUCUAAGAACACUCGUUUCUUCUCCGGUACGUUAACUUCUGCAUCUAUUUAUUAUUCUUAAAAUAUGGACAAAAACAUAUUAAUUAACAUUUUGAGGCUAAACACAUUAUUAUUGUUUUCAGAAGGCAGGGCCAUUGGUGCAGCAACAUUGGUCUAUGCGUCUGGAAAAGUCCCUCAGUAUGCGUCCAACUUUCGACAAUCGGGUUCCACCUUUGCCUCUAAGAGCUGGAUCACCGGUCUCCUCGCUCUUCCUACCGCAGGUUAAUUUUACAUACAUACACGUUGUCUCUGUACAUUCUAUAAGACAUACACUCAAAUUUUCACUUUGGUAACAUAGUUACUUAAAUAUAGCUAGGCGACACUAAAAAUGAACGACAUCUCCAACCCUAUUCCAUUUUUGACUUCAAACUCAAUUUUGGAGUAAAAUCUUCUCCAGGCCAAAAUGCAGUAAUGACUAGGGUUACUCCAUAUCCAUUUUAGAGUCCUUUAAUGUUUUUCUAUUUAUGAAAUAGUCCUUUUAAUCUUUAAUGUUUUUAUUUCAUACUUAAAAUAAUAUAAUACCUCGCAAAAGAUUAUUUAAUAGUUUACAUAAAAUAUGCAUAAACUCAUAAAAGUCAAAACUAAGAAUAAAUAAUAUAAAAUAAAUAUAAUAUAAAUAAAUAAUUUAAUAAUUAAUUCGGUAAAUUGUUUUCGAAACUACUGAAUCGGUGAAGUAUUAUUCAAACGGAAUAGAUGAGUUUUUAAUCUUAUGGGUCAAAAUAUUGAUUGAUAACAUUGUACUUGUUGAACUUGAUAUAUGCACAAACAAUGGGACUCAAUACAUAAUUCAAAUUACAAAACAAAACUUUGUUUUUUCUUUAUGUUAUUUUAAUGCAUAUAAAUAUUUUUGAAUUAGGAAAAUUGCAUAUGAUAAAAACUGCACAAAUUGAAAUUGGAAGAUAUCUAGUUGUAUUUUUAGUGAUAAAUAUUCAAUUUAAAUAAAAUAUAUUAUUAUGGAAAUUUUGUAAACAUAAAAUAGUUGUAUUAAUUGUUAAAUUUUUAUAAGUUGAAAGUACUACUAACAAUUAUUUACUAAAUAAAAUAAUAUUUUUUUUGGAGUAAAAAAUGGAGUAAAACUCAACCCGAUUUUGGAGUAACACCAAUAUAUUGGAGAUGCUCUAAAAACUUAUAUCUUAUAAACUGUUUAGAUUUGUUUGUUUCUAAUCAUGUUUUACGAAGAUUUUUAUAUGUACCCUUGCUUUCUUUGCAUGGUUUCUGUGUAUAGCCUUCAUGCUCCAAGAUCAGGAAGUCCAUGCUGCUGAGGUAAUAUAUCAACAUCUUUUUCUUAGGUUAACUAUCUUUUUUUUUUUUUUGUUUAAUUAGAUUUAUCAUUUAUCUGUGUUCAACCAGAUGGAACGCACUUUCAUCGCUAUCAAACCUGAUGGAGUGCAGCGAGGACUGGUAAAAUAUAGAUAGACCACCCUGAGUUCUUUGCUUUUGUAUUCCUUUUUGGGUCUUAAGUACGUCAAAAUGCUAAAAAGAAACAAUUCUUAGUAAAUCUUGCUGCUCACGUCACCAGAUAUCAGAAAUCAUUACCCGGUUUGAACGCAAAGGAUUCAAGCUUGUUGGUCUCAAAAUCAUGGUUCCUUCAAAGGGCUUCGCGCAGCAACAUUACCACGGUGCAAAGGAAAGACCUUUCUUCAACGGCUUGUGCGACUUCAUUAGCUCAGGCCCUGUUGUUGCCAUGGUAAUUUAAAAUAAGCAACUCACUCAAAACUUUGAAAACCAUAAACCGAUUUUCUUGGUUUCUCAUCCGAAAACAUUGAGCUUGGUUUUAAGGUCUGGGAAGGCGAAGGAGUGAUUAGAUAUGGACGUAAACUGAUUGGAGCCACUGAUCCUAAAAAAUCUGAACCUGGAACCAUCCGAGGUGAUCUUGCUGUUGUUGUUGCAAGGUACAUUGGCUACUUUCUUGCAUUGUAUUUUAGUAUAUAAAACAUGUUUGGUUCAUAUUUGUUCAUAGGUUAAUAGAUUUGGCUGUGUUUGUUAUAUUGGGACGAUUGCAGGAACAUAAUCCAUGGAAGUGACGGACCAGAGACAGCUAAAGACGAGAUUAGUCUGUGGUUUAAGCCUGAAGAACUCGUUUCUUACACCAACAAUGCUGAGAAGUGGAUCUACGGCCAGAACUAAAACUAGUCACCUCCCUCUCUCUUUUUGAGCCGUUAGAUAAAACAAAAAUGUCAUCAGAAAUAAAUAAUUUUACUGUCUGUUAAUCAUUUGUAAAACAGUAAAACCGACAAUCACCUGCGUUAAAUGGUGUUCGUUUAUGAACCAAUAAUAUAAUGCCACGUGGAGUUCGGAAACUCUUUGAUACGGACUUGAAAUCUGGUUAAUAUAAUUUUAUCGUGGAAUCCGCCGAGCUCAUAUAAAACAGGUAAAAAUAUAACAGAGCGGACGAGUUGACUCGGUAUCUGUUCAGGAAGAAGACUCUUAAGCUUCGUUUCGUCGUCUUCUCCGUAUCUCUGAUCGCUUUCGAUUUUACUUCAUAGACGGUAAAGCGUCUUCGUCUUCUUACUGUUUAUCCUCCGUUCUUCACGAGACUUCAGAAUUUCGAUUUUUGGUUGUUUGAUUCGUAGUCGUAGUCUUUGCGCAAUCGAAUUGUAAAUUAGGGUUUAUGUAGUCGAAUUGUGAUUAAUCACUCAGGCGCAGAUGGAGACUGAGACACAACUUGUGGCUGAUCCCAUUGCUCUCAACGAAAAGAAAGUUGCCAUGGCUUUAGGUUGGUUUAUGUUUUAUCUUUAUGCCAUUCUACUAGCUUUCUCUUUCGUCUGUUGCUCUCAUGAUAAUAUCUCUAUAUCUUCUUGGUUCAGAUGAUCUCAUCAAGUUGUCAAAGAGAAACACCAAAGGGAACAAGGGCAGAAGUUCAAGGAGACCCAAGGUAGAAACUUUCCUGUAGUUUCUUAAGCUUACAAAUGUCUCAUUGUCUUUCGUAUGGUCCAUUUAAUUGGACUUGAAAUGUAAUUUUUUUUUUUUUUUUGCGCAGAACAAAAACGGAAACUUUAAUGGUGCUGCGAGAAAUAGUAAUCCCUCUAAAGAGAAGCAUUACGUGAACUCACUUUCUGGAGUUAGACAGGUUAGCUUUGUAGUGUGCCCAGCUGAUCUGUUUUCUUGGCUUCUUUUGUCUUAUCUUUUGUAGAUUGGUGUUCCUUUGUUUUAAUCUCAUAAUUCUCAGGGUGCUGUUGAGAAGAGAAGGUCUAACUUCAAGGGAAAUCAGUUUCCUAUUGCAACAAACGUUGCUCGUAAAGCUGCUACUGUUGCUCCACUCCGUGUCCGUAGAAGAGCUUUCAAUGCUGGAAGGAUGACUAGUGCAAAUCAGUCAAGGUCUAGUCGCUGGAUCAUUCUCUGAGCUAUUUGUUAAUCUGGCGUGGUUAUAAAUAAUUUCUUCAAUUGUUUGUGCUUCACAGAAGCUUCUGUUCUAAGUCCCUUGCUGGUCUCUACUUGGUCAUGAUAUUGAUGAUUGCAUGAGUGUGGUUCAGAAUAAUAAUCCAUUUAUGUAGAUGAGUUUAUGAUGGUACUUGGGGGAGUCGGUGAACAUUUUUAUUUGGGUAGAGGAUUUUAGGUAAAGAAGAACAAACUGAAGAACCUUAAGUUUGGCUUCAUCUUUUCUAGAGAGCAGAGAGUAGCCACUGGCUUAGGGUGUUUUGUCUCCAGACUGGUUUAGCCUUUGAUAUUCCCUCAGUUGUUAGGAUGUGGCUAGGUUGGGUAUGAAUUUCGGUUGCUUGAAGUUGGUGUUUAUUGUCAGAUUAACAAGUUGGACAGUCUGCUACCCUACUUGACCUUUGAUAUGACCUCAGUGGCUUCAUGAAACUCUUUUUUCAUUCAUACCAGUCUCCUAGGUGUUAUGUCUCAUCGUCUUCCUGCAUCCUGAAGAAUAUAGAUUUAGCUCUCUGUGGUUGUGACAGUGAAUUGGUAGAUGUCAGUUUCGGUGAAAAUUCAGAAGAUUUAGACUUCCGAAUGUUCAUCAAUAUACAUCUCAGUGUUACAUGGCUGCGUCAUCUCUUGGGCUUUAUGAUUUGUCUUUGAUAAGUUGAUUUGUCGGGACAUAGGUCAUCUCUUGGUGGGUUGAUCUGGAAAUACCUCAAAGAGCUUGCACUUUUUCUGAGUAGUUUCUUCGAAAUGGGAGUUGUGUUGAUGUCUGGGGAGCCUCUAAGACUGGGAAGUGAAGUGUUGCAUUGCUUAGUAUAAAAUGGAUAUUUGCCAUGUGCUGCUUGGAUUUCGCCUUAGAUCCUUCUGUUGUAUCAGAUCAUUUUUAUCUGUUGGUGCCACUUGCCAGUUACCGGCUGUUUCUUCAAGCUGUCCUGUAAGGUUCUCUCUAUUGUCUUCUCGGUUCUCAGCAAUCAUUCUUCUUUUCUUUUUUUUUUUUAAAUGCAGGCUUCUUGCUCCACCAGUCCAGAGUAGAUCUAGAUUCAUCACAAAGGUAAAUCCUUCAUUGAUGUAUGUUAUUCAGACCUACUUAUUAGGUCUCUUCUUUGGAGUAGUUUUCCUUGUGGAUAUGUUUGUGGGGGCCCUGAGAUAUAUUCAGAGAAGUGCUUUCUGUGUCUAUGGUAAUAACUGCCUUCUAAUGGUAGAGAUAAACUAUAAAUGGUCUUUAGAUCGAUUAUGGGUUUGUGAAUUUUGAACUAUGCAAUGAAACGGUGGUGGGUAGGAUAUGUGUAAGUUUUGUUAGUAAUUUGAUCUGAUAAACGCAUAUCAUGGUUUGUUAUAAUGAGCGUGAUGACUAAAUCUUUCCCAACUUCUUUGAUAUUAAUGUCCAAGAACUUGAAAUAAUAAAUGUUUUGGAGAGCUAAUAAAAUUGAUCUUUGUCCGCAGAGGCAUGAGAUGGAUCAGAAAGUAGAAAAUGGAGGAGGGAAGUGGAAGACACUAGACUCUCGGUUUGCAAUCAUGAAAGAGCAGAGGAAGAAUAGUUCGUGCAACAAUGGCGUUGGACUGCAUGUUCCAAGGUUGCCACCAUGGGCUAGAGCCAGAAGAUUUUAGUUACUAAGCAAACCACAAAGCAUUUAUACGCGCUCCCUACACUCUUAGAUUUUGUCUUUGGGAUUUAUAUUCUUGUUAAGCACACCAGAUAAUGCAGUUCCUUUGUGACUUGCUUACAUAUCUUUUCAAAAUGCAUCCAAGAUAUAAAUAAAUAUCGUUUGAAAUCUUUGAAUGUUCGGUGUAUUUGAUUGAAGCUAGUCAACAUUGGGUUUCUGGUGCAAGGCACGGGUUGGAUCACAUGUAUGUUUCGUCCAUAGAACGCUUCUCUAAACUACUGGUUAGAAUUGCUGUUUGACAUUUUUUUUUUUUUUGUUUUGUAAGAUCUGUUUGACAUAUUUUGUUCAUCAAUUUGGGGGUGUAGCUCAUAUGGUAGAGCGCUCGCUUCGCAUGCGAGAGGCACGGGGUUCUAUUUCCCGCACCUCCAGGCCUUUGUAUUUUCCGCUCACUGUUUUGGACUUUUAGUUGUCCUCAGUUAAUUCAGGCGAAAGAAAUGGCUAACUUAUCUCUCUUCCUACUUUUCUUUAUUUCGAAGAUGUUAAACAAAAUAAUAAACUAACAUGUUAAGUAAAUUUUCGCCUACUACUAUUAUCUUCGUGCUAUGCACAGUUAAAUUCCUAUUUUCUAAAUUAUUUGUUCAUAAACUUAUAAUGAUUAUUAAAAUAAAUUAUUGUUUUAUUCACAUAUUUUCUAAAUAUGGACAACACAUUGAUAUACAUAAAUUUAGAAAUUCAUGCAAUAAGUUUUUGUGGUUUUGUUUUGAAAAAUGAAUACCUCUUACAUGUUGGAAAACUUGUUUUUGUUAAAAUUUUAAGAUAUAUAGUAUACCAAGCUACCAACAGACAAAAUAUGGUAUAACUAUUAUAUUUAAUAUAUUUGCUUGUAAUUUUGUAUAAAUAUAAGCCCCUUCAUGUAUACCAUAAUAAUUAUAAAAUAAUAGAACUAUUGACCAAAAAAAAACAAUAAAAUUAUGAUAAUUUCUGAAAAACUACAAUUCAAUUAAAAAUAAAUAUCAACAUAAAUAUAAAAAGGCAAAUAGCUAUAUUAAAAUUACCAUGAAAAAACUGAGUUAUAUUUUACAUAAGCUUUAAUUUUAGGGGAAUUAGAUUCCAUAUACAUAGGGGAAAAGAAAAUUAAUAUUAUAACUAGAACAACAACUUGGUUAUGAUAUUUUAAAUAUUUUAUGUAAUAAGACAUUUUUACUCUUAGACAUUCACCUCAGUUGAUCACAUGCAUGUAUUUUUGUUUUUUUUCUUUCCCCUUCUCAUUUUAUCUGAUAUGCAUCUUUCUAAUUAAAUAUAAGCCAUUCAAAUAAUUAUGCUAAUAAAAAUGUAUACAUUUUUCUGUAUGUGCUGUACUUUAAAUUUUUUUAAAUGGACAUAUAUUUCUCAUAAAAUUAUAGUCUAUCUGUUUCAUAGUUUGUUUUGUUGUGUGAUAUUCUAUAAAACACAUAGAAUAGAAACAUAAUUUUAUAAUAAAUGACAAUAUGUUAACAUUAUAAUAUGUGUAAUUUCUUGACAAUUUUAUUACUUUGAAAUUUCUUAUCUCAAACUUUACUAUAUACAAAGAACAACACAUCUCCGGUGAAAUACACAAAAAAAAUUUGUAACAAUUAUUGUACUUACUGAAUAUACUAUAAUAUUUUAUGAACAUAGUAUAGAACGUUAAAAUCUUCGUCUUCCUCCGCCCCAUUCUCCUUCUUUCUCAUUCCUCUCAUCUUCCUCUUUCAUCCUCCUCCUCCCCUCCCCUCCCUCCCUACUCCUCUUCUCUCCUCCUCCGACGAUCUCCUCCCACCUCGUCCUUCUCCUUCUUUUUCUUCUCCUCUAAAUAGUAUACAAUAUAUAGAUCGAUGUAUACUAUUUCUCUUUACAAAUAGUAUAGUUUUAUUUUUUGUUUUGAGUAUACACAAUAGACGCGCCGUUAAUGAGAAAGUGGUCCAACUUUGCUUACAAUUGUCACAUCAAAGAAGAAACACUGUAGAAUGGGUAUAUUCUUCAUUUGUGAACCCUUUAUGAAUAUCCAGCAAAUUGACCCUUAAUUUUAUCUCUUUGUUAUAUAAGAAAUGGCUACAAAGCUAAUUUUCAUUUUUUUUACCGAUUUUAAAUACUAUUAUUUCAAAUAUAAAUGUGUUUAUCUUAUUCCACAAAAAAAGUUCUUUCAUGUUGAGAAUAACUUCAAAAUCUGAUGGUAAUUUCGUGAAGAGAAGUUUGGUUUUCCAUCCAUCCUUUUGUUAAAAUUAAUCUGCAAAAUAUAGAAAUGUUCUAAGAGCAAUAGUAGAAUAACUCGUUACCACACUCAAUACAAAGUAAAACUAAAAACGAACGAAACAAUUGAGAGAAGAAAAAGACAAAGACAAAAUUUUAAAAUAUUAGAAAAAAUAUAGUUGAUUGAAUGUUAUAUAGGAGAUGGAGCAGUUGAUAUUGGGAAUUACUGAUCUUUAUAAUCGAACGUGUUCAUAUUACUUUUGAUAGUAUGAGAAAAUAUAGGAACUUGUUUUUUUCUUUUACAGUUUGAAAAAUAUUAGAAAUCAUUAGAACGUGUUUUAAUCUGGAUUUUCUUAAUUUUUAAUUCUUUAAUUUUUUUUAAAAAUAAUUACAUUUGUCAAAAUCUAAUUGCUCAAGUGACUUGUGCUUUAAUAUAUAAAGGAUUCCAAAAACUAAACCAGAAAAUAUAUUUACGUUUGCUAACUCUUUUCACUUCCCACUUUUCUUUAUAUCAAAGAUGUUAAGAAAACCAUAAAUAAUUAGAUAAAUAUUUAGAUAUUCCAAAAAUUUAACCAAAACAAAAAUUUAUUAAACAAAAUGUUAAUUAUACAUUAAAUAUUCGGUCCAGGGCCCUAAGUACCAUCGAGAAGCGGCUAAAGAUUUCGACCCAACACCAUCAUAUAUAUACUUAUCUUUUGAAUCUGUCUUUACGAUCAUUUAAUGGUCCAAAAACUCCAAACUGUUCUUUUGUUAUCAGUUUGACCUAAUCCACUUUAUUUUCAGAUUUGGCUCAAUAUUUGUAAGCGCCAUUACGCUAUCUUCCUUGUCGUUUGUAUAUCGAUCGUUUCAUACGGCGGCCCACAAAUUAUAUUACAUAUAUAUCGUUUUCAUAUUGUACACGUUGGUCAUUCGUAUUUGAUGUUUGGGACAGCUUCAAAACCACAUAAUACCAAAUAAACCUCCUGAACAUUGAAAAUGAAAUUAGUAUAGUUUAUCUUAUGAACCCACGUUAGUCAUUUUGACGCAUCUUCACAAUAUGGGUCGGCUACUGGGUCACCUUGUUCUUGACUUUUAUCCUUAUCUAGUUUUUGUUUUCCACAGUUGUUUAAUUUGGAACGUCGCUUGAUUCGACAAGCUGAGUUACAGAAGCGAGACACACAAAUUAAAACUUCUCUAUUGUUGGUAGCUUGAUUUAUUUAGUUUUCUUUAAAAAUCAAACCAAGACUUAUCCAUAAAAUGCUAAUUCAAAGUCAGUAACGAUAUCGAUCACGUCCACGUUAUAUCAUAAAAUUCUGACUCAGUUAGCCGAGAUACUAUAUUCUAGUUAAUUUACUUUCAUGGUAAAAAGUAAGUGUUUUCAACCUAAAUUACAUACUCAUCUAUAUAUACGUAUCUGUUGGUUUACUUGGAAUAUUCACGAGAAAUGUAUGAAAACCAUAACUGAAAAGGUGUUAAAGGAAAAUAUUAUACGUUUCGUGGAUGACUCUCAAGUCACGGAAAGUCCUUGGUGGAGUUGAUGUCAACGGUGCCACCCAUAUGUAUGAUAUGAUAACAAUAAAAUUUGCAUUUUCUUAUGAAUAAUCCGAUGUGCCUAACUUAUCGUAAAAAUGCAUCCACUAAUACAGUACUAUGUUUUUAAAAUGUAUUUUUUUUAAUCUUUAAAGAGGUAGUAUGUCAUAUGGUUUCAUUUUAGUAUGUUCUUUUCGAAAUUGAAACCGUAUUGUUUGUUUUGCAGCGUACAUAGUUAUGAAGAGAAUAAAAGUUGAUUCACAUAGCAUUAAAGUAGAGAUUUAAUUUAACUUUAAUUAUACAUAAAGUACAAACAAUCCCUGAAUGCUUAACAUAUAGAAUUCAAAUCUCGUGACCCCGACAUUUAUGGAAAAUAUGUUCGACUUUGGAGAAAUUUGAAAAUAACCAAUCAACAAAAUUGGAAAAUGAAUUCAAAACAUAAAAAUACAUACGGAUUUAGCUAUUUAUUUUUUGGGAAAAAGUAUAUUCUGAUGAUCUAAAGAAAUAUUUCCUGUGAAAGAAAAAUCUAGCCUCAGAUACAAUGAAAUCUAAGACAUCCUCCUUGUUACAUCCAAAUUGAUUAAUAUCCAUUAAUGUUACACCGAAUUAAAUAAACGACAAUCCUUUCGAAUAGUCAUUUUUAAGUUUUUGUCACAAAAAUAACUUUUAAGAUUUUUUUUUUUAAAAAUAGUUUUCAAAAAAGAAAAUAACCAAAAUAAUUAUUUUUUAUUUUGAAAAUUUUAAUAUUUAUUUUUAUUUUUUAAAAAUUUGAAACCACAUCUCCAAAACCCAACCACUUAACUCUAAAUCAUAAGUCUAAAUUAAUUAACCCUAUGGUAAAAAUGUAAUAAAACUGUAUUUUGCUUAUUUUCUUUGGCUAUCCUAUGGAAUAUUUUCUAUUAAAAAUAAAUUAGAUUUAUUACCAAAAUAAAAUAAAUACAUUUACACUAACAAAAACCGUCAAAGGGCAAUAAAGUCAAAUCAAACCAAUCGGGUAUAUUCGCACCCAUACCAAAUUCCGCCACGUGUCAUACUUUUGCUCUGCCUCGCUCGCCCUCUCUGUUUCUCUCUAGAAACGUAGAAUCUCUCGCAAGUAAAUAAAGUAAACAGUCAAAUAUAUCCAUCCAUCACACCGCUCCUAUAAAACACAAACCCAACCUCUGCUCGAUCCCCAUAAACACAACCGCUCUCACGAGUUUUUUAAUUAUUAUUACAUAACUCUUCUGAAUUUUAAUUUGAUUUUCUGUUAAAAACGAUGGUGAAGAACGUUCUGGUCACAGGCGGCGCUGGCUACAUCGGUAGCCACACGGUGCUUCAACUUCUCAACGGAGGCUACUCCAUCGUAGUCGUCGACAAUCACGACAAUUCAUCCGCUGUUUCUCUCCAACGCGCCAAAAAACUCGCCGGCGAUAACGGAAACCGCCUCUCCUUCCACCAGGUUCCGUUCUUUUUUUUCCUCUCUCUCGGCGAAUUAUGCUUUGUUGUUGGGAUUUAGGAAACGUGUUCGUGAAAGGAUUUUGUCUUAUAAAAGUUCGUAAUCAAAAUAUCUGUGAUACUGUUAAAACUGAAAUUACUGUAUGUAUCUAUGAACCGUUGAUAGAUUUCAUCAAACGACGGACGAUUAGAUUAUCGUGAGGAACAGGUCACCGAGUGUGGAUUCCAGGGUUCUGGUUAAUCUUUGUACACCAUGUGGCUAGUUUGUGUGUGUAUUCUUUAAUUUAAAAAGAAUACAGAAUAAAUAAAAGCAUCAACGCCAUGUGAAAGAGUGUAUUAUAAUAUUAUUAUCAUNNNNNNNNNNNNNNNNNNNNNNNNNNNNNNNNNNNNNNNNNNNNNNNNNNNNNNNNNNNNNNNNNNNNNNNNNNNNNNNNNNNNNNNNNNNNNNNNNNNNGAGUGGUAAAGUAGAUAGGCCGCUUGAGUUCUUCUAUGAAUGAUUGUAGCUUUGUGCAGGUCACUUUAUCAGAUCUGUCUACCGGAAGUAGUAACCUAUCCUUGGUACUGCUCUCUGCAUCUGCCAGCCUAGGCGGAGAGAGCGAGAUAGUGGAUAAAGAGCUGUGUUAAAACAUUAGAUUUGGGUUAUUUAUGUUGUUUAUGUUGUGUAACUUGCCUGCAAGACUGUUAGAGGAGCCGAGUAAUAGUGAAUAUACAAAUAUUUCAUCUUCUGAAUCAGAUGAAAUAUAAUAUAAAUUUGAGAACUUCUUACCUGGUCACAGUAAUCUGAGAAACCAAAAUAGAUUGCCUUCAACUGGCAGGUGUCUUCUUUAAAGGUACAAAGAGAAUUCUGUUCCAAACCGUUUUAAGUAAACUUCAAAAAGAUAGCGAUGAAAUAUCAAAUGUAUAAGUUGAAUUAAAGAGCUUUGUACCACCUCGGGUUUGAGAUCUCGGUGUACAACACCUUGGAGAUGACAAAAUGCAACCACAUUCAAUAUUUGUAUCAUAACAGUCUUUGCGUCCUCCUUCGUGUACUUCCCACCUCCGCACAUAAAACACAACCAAGUCCAUUAUAAAGUGAUCAAAACCAAAAAAUAAAAAAACAACAAUCAUACUACUGAAAUUGACGGUCCAUCUACCUGAGAGUAUUCAAUCCAAAAUCUCCCCUCCUUCACAUAACGUAAAACAACAAACCACUUGUUAAGAUUCUCCCAAGCUGUAUCUGGAAUAAUGUCUGAGCUAAAAGAGAGUUUACUCCAUCACUGUAUAGACAUUAUCAUGAUCCCAUAUGCAUCAAGGAAAUGAGGAAAGUUGUCAUGACCAGAGAAAGAUCCCAAUAUAUUCACUUCUCUCUCACAUCUUGAAUUGUCAUCUACACAACACAUUACAAACAAUAAAUCAAUUUGACACCAAACUGAAAUUGAAAAAACAUGACAUUACAUCUUUAAGAUCUCAUCACUACAAAGCACUUUUAUUUGCUUUGAAUAACUUUAAGAAGAAUGACGUUCAGAAAAGUAUGAGAAUAAACUGAGCAAGCAGCUAAGGAUAAGACCUUGAAAGUUUUCACUAUACCAGAAAGACACAUCAUUUGAAGUUUAUCCAUUUCCAAGGUAUCAGUCUCCGCGGAUGAUUCAUUCUUCCCUUCUUGGGUAUCCUUUGAGCUUUCCAGAGAUUCCAGCCUAACUCCUCCUUUAUGCCGGUGAUCUAAAUUAGGAAACAGAUCAAGAUACCUACCAAAAAUCUUCCCUUUCGGUUUCAUGGAGACCUUGGAACCCUCUUUUGGCAAGUUGAUCUCUCCAGAAACUCUUAGAACCGAAUCAACAGUUGCAUAAAACCUCACUGGUCUGAUCAACUCAAGCAGGUUUUGUGUAGUCUUUUCUUGAACAUUGUUAUUAUCUCUUUGAGCACACAUCCAAGGCAUUCUAUUAUAAACAGCCAUAGCUUUCGAGCUUGAACCCGCAACGUCUUUGGUAGUAUUAUCUCUUCAGCGAAACCUUGAACAUAGGAAACGACAAGAUCUCGACUCCUUCUCUCCAAGUUAUCUCUCUUUGACAUUAUCUUCAGCCGUAAUCAACUCGUCAGAGUCACCACCACUACUAUGAUAUGGAAUGGUUUCUUACGAAUUUGUCAAAUACAUCUCUACUGACAAGCUCAAGAACGAUAUAGAGCUUUGUUUUGCUCCCCAAAACAAACGGAGGUUGCGGAAGAUCAAUUCCUCGAAGAUAUAACAAACAGAGAAGUCUCAGAUGAAAUGGAGGCAGAAGAACAUAAUCAAAUGAGGACAGAGGAGAAUGAAAUGGAGGAAGAAGCAGAGGACUUGGAGGAGAAUGAAAUGGAGGAAGAAGCAAAUGAUGAUGUGCAGACUCAGACUGACACAGCUACUACAUCACAGCGUAAAAGACGCCGAGGACCUACAAAGAUGAAACACAUUGCCAAGGAUCCAACUGAAAGGCAACAUGUCGACUUCACAAAUAUGGGGGAUCCCUGUGGUCCAGGUUCUGUACUGUUAUCCUCCUACUUGGGUCCCUUAGUUCGUGAACAUGUUCCGGUGAUCAUUGAUAACUGGAGACAAGUCAGUGAAGAAAUCAAGACUGUGCUCUGGAAAUCUAUUGAGGUAAUAAGAAAAAAAUUUACAUUUAACUACGAUCCAUUUUACUUGUAUUUGAAUGUGUCUCAUUGCUGACUACAGAUGAGGUUUGACAUGGACGAAGACUUUAAAAAGGCUGCUGUGUUUAAGCAGAUGGGAUGUUUGUGGAGAGCAUCCAAAUCACGUCUGGUAACAUCUGUUAGAAAAGCUCCAACCAUUAAAGGUAGGAUGAGCUUGCAACCGAACAAUGUUUCUACAGCUGAAUGGCGUAAAUUUGUCAAAGAGAAGACCAGUCAGGCCUUUAAGGUUGUCAGCGACUCUUACAAAGAAAGAAGACAGAAUCAGAUUCCUCACACCUGCGGCCGUAAGGGAAUGGUGAGGCUGAGAGAAGAUUUGGUAAAGUCAAGUGAAGAUCCAUCAAAAGUGUCGAGGCUCCGAGUUUGGGUGAAAUCACGAACAAAGAAGGAUGGUACUCCUGUCAAUGUUAAUGCAGCUGAAAAGAUUGUAAGUUUUCAUAUUGAUUUUAAGAAGUUGGAUCUGCUGGUUGCUGCUUUGUGAUUAUUGAAAUUUUAAUGUGUUUCCAGAGAAAGGCAUCAGAGAUCGAACUUGAGGGUCAUUUCAAUUAAUUAACAAUACAUGAAUAAAAUAUAAUAAUCUUUUAUAAUUUUUUAAAAAAAUUUAUUCAAUACAUUAAGAAUAGAUAACAUAAAAAUGACAUAAAAAUUUUAUUCAAUACAUUGAGAAUUCAAUAACAUACAAAGAUUAUUCAUACAAUAAUUGGCAUUAUUAAAAAUUAAAAAAAAUAUAAAAUAUAAAAAUACAAAUUUAUAUUAAAUUUUUUAUAUAUUGAAAUUGGUUACAUAGUUAUGACAGGUAUAUCAAACUUAACUAAUUUUUUUAAAAACAAUUAAACCUACACCUAAAAUUCUAAACCCAAAGUUCUAUCUCCAACGUCACCGUCUUCUAGUCACAUACCGGAGCUUGGACCUUCUCCACUCUAAACACCUAAUGUCCUCGCCACUAAUGACUCACCCCUUUUGCCACCUUCUCCUCCAUCAAGCUUCUCUGCCUUGUCUACCUUCCUGUAACACAAUACACAAACUACAGAAUAUAUAUUAUAUAGAACGCAAAGAGUCAGAGGCAGAUGUGCAUGGUAAAUCGGACGACUUGUCUCAGGCAUUAAACAUCAUCUCCAACAAUGGAAGACAAAAAAGACAGCAUAUUACCUUGUGUAGUUGCAUGAUUCUAUCUCUCCCAACCGUAAGUGCACGCCUUGACACUUCGAUCAAAUGAACCAGAGUAGAGCUCUGCAGUUCUGUGUCUGAAACAUAGGGAAAAAACAGUGUUCCUGUGACCUGUAAAGGUCUGUAGACACAUAAUCAUAAAAGCUGAAACAGAUUGGACCUUAUGAACAUGGCGAUCAACUCCUCUAGUCGUCAAGUAACGACCAUCAGAGUUAACAGCUAAAGCAUCUACAAUUACAACAAACAGCAAUCAUGAAUACAAAAUGAAACCUUAAGAGCGUUCGAGAAUUUGGAAGUACCACUCUGAGCAAUGGUUCCAAGACAGACAGUCUAUAAGUUCUUCCUUUGUCACCACCAUCUCCAAACAAAGCAGGCUCUGUCACACUCAAGAACCUCAGCUUAUCAAAGCAUCACUUGCAUUACUGUAAACAUAUACAAAAUACACAUUCAAUCAAUUCUUGUGACUAUAUAAGCUAUGAACUAUCAAAUCCAACAAUCUGCUCACCUGCCAGUGAUAAAGUCUCAAACUUUCACAUUCAAAUCAAGUUCCCAUGACUAAAAAUCAAAACUUUAGUAGAAACGAACCUCAGCUUGGCACUCGAACUUCUCACCGGACCCUUCACCGCGAACCAAUUACAUAUCUUCUCGAGGUCCCAACUACAUGAAGCGCCGGUUCUCAGACCACCACCACUGCGAGGAAGAAACACACAAGUAGAUAUAUUGAUUUCAAUAAACAUACACAAGAAAUAAGGUCCAAUUUGUCAGACCACCACCAUUCUCCUCUGAUUGUUACAAAAGAGAAAUAAAAAACAGAGAAGAAUUGAGAUGAAAGGAGAAAGAAUUGAAUCUGAUGAAAUGAGGAGAGAGGAGAGAAGGGGACGAACAAUGGAAAGAGAUGGAGAGAGAGUGGAGGAAGCUAAAGCUAGACUUAUUACCGAACUCCAGCUUCUGUAAGAGACGAGGAGAGGAUGUGGAGAAGGAAAGAGAAGACAGUGACUGAUUGACACGUGGUCUGAACCGCUUCAUACGAGUUCACUACUAAGGAUCGGUUCAAUGAAUUAAAGUCAUUUUUCAAUUUUUUAAAUCAAUUCGGGCCUAGGAACUUGAGCCCAUGAACCCCAUUACAUCCUCUAUUGUGCCUGCUCUUAUGGGUCCAAUGGCAGAAGCACCAUCACCUCCAAAAUAAAAGCUUUUGGUCUCUUUGAGAUUAAAACCACUAACUCUGCUUCUUGGAACUCUAUUCUAUCUCUCAGACCGCUAGCACAGAGCUUCAUCUUCUGUAAUGUCAACAAUGGAGAAAACAGCUGGUUCUGGUACGAUAGAUGGACACCUUUUGAUCAACUCAUCAAUUUUCUUGGACCGAAUGGACCGAGGGACCUGAGAAUACCGACCUCAGCUCAUGUCAAAGAUGCAUGCUCAGCUUCUGGUUGGCUUUUAUCCCAACCCCGUUCAGAUAACGCCUUAAAGUUGCACAUUCAUCUGACUACCAUCACCAACCCGAGACAUCUCAACGAGCAGGAUUCAUAUCAUUGGUGCGUUGAUGGUAGAGACAUCAUGGGAUUCUCUUCUUCAAAGACUUGGGAGGCAUUAAGGCCGCGAGCUACUCCAAAGGACUGGUUUAAGGAAAUCUGGUUCUCCGGCGCUAUCCCGCGACAAGCUUUCAUGAUGUGGCUUGCAAACUACAACAGGUUACCGACAAAGGUGAGGAUGUCUUCCUGGGGUCUCAAUGUACAAACAGCUUGUUGCUUCUGCAACAACAAUGAGGAGUCUCGAGACCACCUCUUCCUCUCCUGUCCAUAUACGAUUUCACUUUGGAGGCUGAUCUUCGCGCGUCUUGACCGAAACCGAGCUCCCUUUAUCUCAUGGACUGAGCUCCUGUCGUGGGUCAGAGUUUCAACUUCUGCAGCGCCUAACAUCCUCAAGAAACUGGUCACUCAAUCACUCAUCUACAACACUUGGAGACAGCGCAACUCAGCCAACCACCACAACGGAUUCGCCCCUCCGCAGACGACGUUCAGCACCAUCGACAGGGACAUCCGCAAUGUUAUCAGUGCGAGAAGACAUAGGAAAAAGUUCAGUUCUCUUAUCCAGCUUUGGAUCCAAUGAGUCUACUCAUUCGAUUCAACUGUGUUAACCUUGUUUUUUAUCUUCUUUUUGCCAAGGUUUUCACUAACUAGGAUUAUGAAAAAUAAACCUAUAACUUUCAUUUUAAUGAUAUUUACAGUUUAGCAAAAAAAACAUCACACCGUGUUGAAAAAUUAUUGUCAUAUCGUUAGUGUUUAGUGUUUACGGACUGUAUUAUAAUAUUCAAUGGCACAAAAGAAUUGCUAUUAAAUGUUCAAAAAUCCAAAAAAAAACUGAGUUACAAAAAGGUAUUCCAUGACAAAAAACAAAUGUCAUAACAAAAUAUUUUAUGGCACACGAAAAGUGCCACAUAAAAUAUUUAAAUAGCGAAAAUAAAUCGCUAUAAAUAGGUAUAAUAUAACACAGGACCAACGCUAAAAUAUCUGUAUAUUGUUACAGCACGCGAAAAACGCUACGCUAGGGGGGAGGUCUAUUAUAGCUGCGGCUGUCACGGCGUUCUUCGAAACGCUAUGAAAACGAUAUGAUAGCGUUUGUCGAGUGCUAUUAAUACCGAUAUUUCUUGUAGUGUGUGCUCAUAAUUGGCUCGACAGCUUUGAACAAUAUGACAAUGGUAAGUUAGUUUAGUAAUUAUAUUGUACAGAAACAGAGACUUCAUUCAUGAAAUAUUUUGCUGGUUUUGGACAAAAUCAGAGGUUGCUGAAUCUAGUAAUUAAGAGGAGAUUUUCCCUAUGUUUGUGACGUUUCAAUAGACGUGUAAGUGAUAGAUUAUUAUUUAUUUUCCUUCAUUUCAUUUAUUUUCUGAUCGUAUACUUAUCUAUUUUACCAUUUAGACAACUGAUCAACUUGAGGUCGUGGGAAGAACAAGAAGGAAGAUCUCUAUGUAAUUUGUUUUUAAGUUUGAUUUCAGUGUUGGAGGAGAACUUAUGUUUUUGUGUUGUUUGUUGUUCUUUAGAUCUUAAACUUAUGGUGUGGUGUUUGUUGAAACUUAAACUUAAGAUUUCUGUACCUUUUAUGUGUUUGUCAUUUUUUGCGAUUUGGCCAAUAAAGUUGUUCUUUUUUAAUUCAGGUGGGUUACCCGCUUGAUCCGGUUGAUUAGCGUGGGGCGGGUGCGGACAUCUUGUAUAACUCGUAGCGGGUCAGGCAGAGGCAACCCUAGCGCCGCACCAUUUAAGCUCGGUUGAAGGCUCCACUAUGUUGAAGGAGAAAUUCGACCAGCGAGUAGACGAUCACUACAUUCAAUUUCAAUAAGAAAAGAUGAUAUGGUUUUGAAAAAAUGUAACAUGGCAUUAACAUAAUUGUGACAUGCACAAUUUCAUUUAUAAAUUUUAUAUAUUUUUGGUAAUGUUUUUGAAAUACGGUAAUGACUAUUAACUCGUAUAUCAUGAUUAAUGUAUAUUUUCUAUAUAAAUAUUUAUUUAUGUCAAGAUUAUUAAAAAAUAUUAAUAGGAAAUAAUCAUAUAUCACAAUUAAAUUAGUAUAUAUAUAUAUAUAUAUCAAAUUAAUAAAAAUAAGUUAAAUAUAAUUACAAAUAUAAUUUUUAAUAGAUUAUGCUAAAAACAAUAAAAAUCAGAAAGUUAUUAGAAUUUAUAUAUAUAUAUGUAUAUAUAUAUAUAUGUAUGUGUGUGUAGGCGUGCGUGUGCGCGCGUGUGCGCGCGUGUGCGCGCGCGGAUGUGUGUAUUUAAAAGUAGGUAAUAAGAGAUAUAUUUAAAAAAUAGUCACUAAAUAUAAUAUAACUAAAUCCAAACUUUCUCUUCGAGUGUGUGCGCGCGGAUGUGUGUAUUAAAGUUUAAAUGAAAUUAAAUUAAAAUAGUUAAACCAAAUCAAAAGAGAUCAUAUUACAAAAAAGUAUUUUAAUGAUUUGUUUUUUUUCAAAACGUUGAAGUUAAAAUAAUAAAAUAAAGAUGUCAAAAUGUAAACUAAAAAAUUUCUUUUAAAAUAAAAAAAAGUCGUAUUUAAAAUUAUUGUUUAUGCGCGUGUCGGAGAAAAACACGUAGUUCUAUUAUACAUAAGUGGUAAAUUUUAAAGGUAUUUUUUAUUUGUACUUUUAUUUUAUUAAGAUAUAUAUACUUUUGUUUAUUUGUGAGGAUCAUUUCAAUUUGUACGCUUUAUAUAGUUUACAAAAAAAAAAAAAAAACUUGACGCUUUAUAUAACAUCAAAGCCAAACAAGUGAUUGCGCUAUAAAGGAUGUACACUGUGUGCAUGCACACAGAAAUAGACGCGGAUUUACCGUGUCAUGUACGGGGCAUGUGCCCCUACUAUUUUGUAAAUAUUACUUAGUUAUGGUUCGAAGUUCCCGCUUUGUGUUUUUUCUUUUUUCUUUUGUUGUAUAAUUAAUGUGUUUUCUGUUUGUCAACAUAUCAUCUAUGUUUUAUUGUUUAGCUAUUAUAGGAGCACUAGAGUUUUGACCCACGCGGGUUUAUUUUCUAUAUUUUAGUUUUUUGUUAAGCGUAUUUUCUCAAAUGUAAUAAAUGUAAUUUUAUUGUCUAAUUGAAACAUCUUUAUUGAAGUAUAUUGAACAAUAUAAGAUGUUUUGUGUUUCAUUUCAUUUAUAAUUUGAUCAUAUGUUUUUUGAUCUUCUAAUGCUUUGUUAUCUUGGUUAUUUUUUAAAAAAAUAUUGUUAGUAUUUAUGUGUCUCCUUUAAUGACAUUUAAACUAAAUAUUGUUUUUCGUGUUGGUAUUAACUAAAAUUUUUUGCUUCAAAAUUUUUGAAGAUGAUUUAUAAAUUUAAAUAAAUUUGAUUUAAUAUUUUAAGAAUUUAUAGAUUUAGAAGAGAAAAUUAUAAUGUUUUUAAUUAAACUGAAAGUUGAAUAGAGUUAACUUACAUCUUCGCUGGAAAUUUUUAUUUAUUUAGAAUUAUGUUUUUGAGAAGUAGUAUAAUACAUACAUGCAAAGAGUAAUAAGUUUGUAGGUAUAAUUAGGAGCCUUUUCCAUUUUGUUACCACUUUUUUUUUCCUCUUCAAUAAGAGUUUAGGGGGUUUGCAAAGUUUUUUUUUUUUGAAACAUAAACAGUGUGUAAAUUUUCGUAACACUAAUCAAUGCUUAUAUUUGUUUUAUUUGUUUGGUUAGUAGCAAUCCUCAAUUCACAUUGUUGCAGUUCAAGCAUGAUUAAAAGUGCAAAUGGUUAUUUCUGAACUUAUCAAUAGAAGAGUGGUUUAAAAAUAUAUAAAUUUCGUCUAUUUUUAUAAAUAUGUACAUUUCUUCUAUUUUAUACGUAAUAUUAUUAAAGAAAAAGAUAAACUUUUAUAUUCUAAUAUCUGUAGUAUGCUAUUCGGUUAAAAAUUUGGAAUUUUUAAGUUUGAUAAUACUUUUACUUCAUAUAUUAAUAAAAAAAUAAAAAUAGCUUUAUCUAUGAAGUUUUCUGAACCCAUUACAGUAGAAACUCUAUGAGUUAAUAUUCGAUAAAUUAAUAAACGCAAAAAAAUUAAUAAACUCCACCAAUUCUGAAUUGAGUCAAUAUAAAAUAUGACACAUUUCGAUAAAUUAAUAAAAUAAUAAAUUCUUGAAAUUUUUAUGUAAAUAUAUAUUCCCAAUAAAAACAUAAAUUAAUAACCGGUGCAUAUAAAUUUAUAUAAAUAUAAUAAUAUAUUGUAUAGUUUGCCUGUAUUUUAUUCAUAGUGAAGUUUAUCUUUAAACUUUAUAAGUAUUUAAAAAUAUUUAAAUGUUAUUUUGUCAUUUUAUACUUAAAAUGCAUAUACAUUUAUGGUAAAUAUUUUCUAUACACCUUAUAGUUGAACAAUAGUAACAUAAAAAGUUUUAUCUAUAACAAUUAAUCAACCAUUCAUAUAUCUUAAAAUCAAAUACCUUUUUAAACAGAAAAUAUAUUCUUCUAAAUUUUUUUUUUUUGUAAAUUAAUAACUCGAAGAGAAAGAUCUAAACAUCGAGAUCAAUAUUGUUGUAAUGUGAUCCAAGUUAAUGAUCCGCUCUGCUUUUUUUAUUCAUCUCAUCGUCGGCAAUAAAAUAAACGACACAAAUAGAGUGUAAUGUAAAUAGGUGCAGAUCACAAUAUAAGACGUAAUAGUCUUUUAUGUAUUAAAAAUUUUAAAACCUAACUUUAUAAUUACGAAAACACAACACAUGCUUGGGAGGAAAUACACUAACUUCACAAGUUAUUAUUCAUUAUAUAUAAAAAAAAUGCAAGAACAGAGAGUUCAAAAAUAGUUUGGAUAAAGUUGUGCUAGACUCCCUCGUCAUUCUCGUCAUCGAUGUAGCAGCUAUUGUUGCAGCUCCAGUCACACUUCAAGGUAAUGGGGAACGCGUGUUGUGUUGCUCCUCGUGACAAAAUGGUCCUCCUGCCUAACUCAUCAUCAGCUGCUGAGAGGAGGCAUUCUCCUACUUGAAGUUUCCGCUGGGAUAAUAAUAAUAGAGGCCGUGUAGCUGGUGAAGAAGCCUCUCUCAGUUGGUUGUCUGAUGGGAUUAGCCGGAACGAUGUGUCUGACAUCAAAUCUGAUUUUUUAUCAUCUCAAGGUUCCUCUUUGGACAGCUUUCGGACACAGACGAUGCAGAAGUCUCCGGCCUCAGGUAAAAUAAGUUCAGCUUGUUUAGUAUUUUUUUAGCUUGAGGGAACACAUGUAUGGUGUGUUAUUCACUUGGGACUUUUAGAUAGUAUUUUUCAGAACCUGUUAAAUCAUGUUUCUCUUGAUAGGACUUCUCUACUUGCUUCUUGACUUGCCUAGGCAUCUGUCUACAGAUCAUAAUAAUCUUACAUGACAUUAAUGAAUAUUUUGGCAGAUUUAUCUUUUUCAAGAAAUUCUUCCAUGGAUACAGUCUUUGAGCAGGUAAAACUUGUUUCACCUAUAGUUGAGUUUUCUCACAUCUUUGAAACUUCUACAUUUGUUGAUACAUAACCUCUCUUUUGCGUUUCUAUCUCUCACACAGAAAGAAAAUGAUUCAAUAGAAUCUGCAGCACCUUCAUACCCAUCUCCUGCACAAUUGUCUCUUUCACUUGCUUCACAACCAUCUUCUUUCCCAACGUCACCACUUCCCUCCCAGAUCUACUAUCACCCUGCAAGUUCAUCGACACUUAAUCCAACACAGCAAGUCUCCGAUGGUAAGAUCUGUGGAAUGAACUCACUUAGCAGAAGCUCAGCAACUGAAGAAGAAGAAAAGGGAACUCCUUUUAGAGUAAUUCAUAUACUACCACAGUAAAUGAAAAAUAAUGUGAUCCAACCAAAGAACGUCAUUUUGUUACAGCUCCCACUUGCAUCAACAUAACUCAAAAGCAGAGUCUUGAAGAUUUACCAAACUCCUUCAUAUCUUCAAUGGUGCUUUCUCUGGUAAGCAAAGAAAUUCAGCGACUGCAACAACAACAUAACUGAGUAACGAUCCAUUCAAGCGGGGUAUACAAAAGCAUUCUCUCAAUCAAAUUAAUGAUAUGAGAUAUUUUCAUUCAUUGUACUUACACCGAGCUUUUAAACAGACGUUUGUAUCACUGUUCUUUUCCUCAAAUUCUGUGGUAUCAGUUUUGAUGAAGGAUGUUUGUAGUUCUCGCCACCUGAAAUAUAUAUAUGAACAUUAGUGUAUAAUCAACAAAAUUCUUGUUAACAAUAAGUUGCAGAGAUCACUCCACUGUCAUCCUUAGUUCGAGCUUAGCCUAGAGAUUCCUCCUUUAAAUCACAGUUUGCUUCGAAGUCUUCAAACAAAUGCAACCUCCUUGUGCUUCCAAUGCUGAUGCAAAAUUUUCAUUACACCAUCAAAGACUCCUCUUCUACCUAAAUAAUGAAACAGAUACAUAUUGAAUAUUGUGUAAACCAAUCUGGUAACCUUUCGAAAAGGAAUAAGAAGAAGCGAAGAACAGAUUUGAGCAACAUGUCGACUUCACAGAUAUGGGGGAUCCAUGUGGUCCAGGUUCUGUACUGUUAUCCUCCUACUUGGGUCCCUUAGUUCGUGAACAUGUUCCGGUGAUCAUUGAUAACUGGAGACAAGUCAGUGAAGAAAUCAAGACUGUGCUCUGGAAAUCUAUUGAGGUAAUAAGAAAAAAAUUUACAUUUAACUACGAUCCAUUUUACUUGUAUUUGAAUGUGUCUCAUUGCUGACUACAGAUGAGGUUUGACAUGGACGAAGACUUUAAAAAGGCUGCUGUGUUUAAGCAGAUGGGAUGUUUGUGGAGAGCAUCCAAAUCACGUCUGGUAACAUCUGUUAGAAAAGCUCCAACCAUUAAAGGUAGGAUGAGCUUGCAACCGAACAAUGUUUCUACAGCUGAAUGGCGUAAAUUUGUCAAAGAGAAGACCAGUCAGGCCUUUAAGGUUGUCAGCGACUCUUACAAAGAAAGAAGACAGAAUCAGAUUCCUCACACCUGCGGCCGUAAGGGAAUGGUGAGGCUGAGAGAAGAUUUGGUAAAGUCAAGUGAAGAUCCAUCAAAAGUGUCGAGGCUCCGAGUUUGGGUGAAAUCACGAACAAAGAAGGAUGGUACUCCUGUCAAUGUUAAUGCAGCUGAAAAGAUUGUAAGUUUUCAUAUUGAUUUUAAGAAGUUGGAUCUGCUGGUUGCUGCUUUGUGAUUAUUGAAAUUUUAAUGUGUUUCCAGAGAAAGGCAUCAGAGAUCGAACUUGAGGGUCAUGCCGAUUCAACGACAACAAAUCCAAAGAACGAUAUGCUAUCUCAGAUACUGGGACCUGAUCAACCUGGACGGUUGCGAGCGAUGGGCAGAGGCAUUAGCAUGACCAAAUUGAAUUGUUUACAGGUUAAGGACAACUAUAUCGCUGCAAUGGAACAAAAACAGGUCUCUCUGCAGGAACAGGUUAAUGAUUUACAGAAGGCCCUUCGCCGAAUGAAUAAUCAGGGUCCUGCAACUGAUGUCAGUGAAAACUCCUAUAACAAGGUAUGAAUUUAAUUAAUCUGGCUUACUCUGUCUAUAAAAUUGUAUAGUUGCAUUUCAUUGACAUUGCUUGUACUUCAUGUAGAGUGUAAAUAAUACCAGAUCACUUCCCAAGUGUUAUCUGGUUGACUGGGCUUCUGUCGAUGAGAAAGUUGCUGAGGGACGGGUCGUUUCAGCUGAAGCUGAUGAGUUAGUUAAUGGGGUUCCUUUAGGGCCUCACGCUGUGAAGGUUUUGGUUGAAACUGCAAUAAAAGCAGACACUUUUUUAUGGCGACCUGCACAUAAUAUGUUUACUAUGGAGGAUGCAGUUGGCGAAAUGAUUGCAUGGCAUUCUGAUCACUGUAUUGUUGCAACAGCAGGUCUCAUUCCAGAAGACAAUGCUCCUACAGUUAAGUUUCUUCUCUCUCUGUUCCUAAGUAUGAUUUUCCUCUAUACCUGAGUAUGAUUCUGAGUCAUUUUUGUUCGAUGUCUUUGUUGUGUUUGGCAGAGCCCUUUCACAAGUUCAGUUAACAAAUGCAAGCUCAUGGACUAUAUACAGAAGGAGGAAGUGGUUGCUUUAGGCCGAUGGCAGACUAAAGAACCAAAAUCAUUGGUGAAUGGACUUCCUCUUGGUCCUAAUGCAGUAAAAGUGUUUGUCGAUGAGGUACUAAACCCAACGGCAUUCAUAUGGAGGCCUACUGUAGGAAAGACAAAUAUGGAGGAUUUUCUGAACUGUUAUGUAGCAUGGCCUGCAAAUUGCGUUGUGUUUGAGCCGGAUAUAACAGAUUCUCCACGUCGUCAACAAUCAGAUUCUAAAGCAGUGAGUUCAUCUUCUAAGAAUCAGAAGUCUCCAUUAACUCCACCAGCUCCUAAGAAACCAUUUACUCCUGCAUCUCCUCUUCGCAGAUCUGAGGUACAACUAUAUUGUUGAAUUGUUUGAUUCAUUUUUGCUUUCUGUGAUGCUUGAAUUUUGGCUUCGUUUUUGCUUUCUGUGAUUGCAGCGUAACAAAUUCAAGCCAAAUCAAAAAAUCCAGCUGCUGGAUCUGUCUGGAAACAAGGUGAUCGUCGCUGAAGGACGUUGGUCUUCGAGUAAUCCUGAGCAUCUUGUCCACUUUCAGCCUUUGGGGCUUGGUGCUUGUAGAGUCUUUGUGGAUGUUGUGAAGGUGAAAGAUGCAUCUGUGUGGAGGACUUCAUCUGAGAUUGAGUAUAUGGAAGAUGCACUUGGAAGCACUCUUGCUUGGCCAGAGGAUAAAAUUAUAACGGUGAGAGUUUUGUUUAUUUUUUUGUUCUUUCUCACUUGGAAGCACUCUUGCAUAAAUGUGAACCGAAGGUUAUGUCUUACUUUUCAGGUUUGACAAAAGAGCAGAAGGAACCAUGCAACUAUUUAAGUUCUUGUUGACAUAAAUGACUUGGUGUUUGCUGUUUCAGAACAUGGCUUUUGUUUUUCAAUUACUCGGUGUUUCUCUUUUUUUCAUGUGUCGGAUGGAUUGAAAUGUUUGUAUGGUUUGAAUGAUUUACUUAAGUUAAGACUUUAUGUUAUUGUGUUUGAUCCAUUUUAUCAUUUCAGUUUUACAAAGGCCCAAUAAGAUAAAUGUCCAUAUCUAGUUUACAAAGAACAAAUCACUAUUCUCGGUUUAGGGCAAGGAUAGGGGUUAGGAUUCUCAUGUUUUUGUUAGUGAUUAGGUUUAGAGAUUUCUUUUAAGGUUUAUUCUAAUCAUAGUUUUGAGGUCGUUUUAAAGAAACUAUAACACACAUUAAGACAAAAUUAUAUGUUAAUCACAAAAUACAUGAUGUAGUUCCCUUUCCACAUUAUCUUUCUUGUGAAAGGGUUAGCAUAUGUAGUGUUUAGUUUGAGGGUUAGGGUAUAUUGGUGUAGUUAAAGUGUUUAGUGGUUUAUAUAUUUAGAAAUUGAUGUCUAAAGUUAGAUUUAUAUUUUAGAAUCAUGAUUAUAUUUUUUACAAAUUUUAGAUAAUUUUAAAAAUAUUUAUAAAUAACCAGAAACAUAAUUUCUCUUCUUUUUUUAAUAGCCAUCGAUUGAUAUCUCAGAUCAAAGGCCCAUAAUCCACCAUCCAUCAGCUAUCCUCGUUCUCUCUUCCUAUUGGUUGAUUAUUUUAAGGCAAGGAUCAUAAUCUUGUCCGUUCGUAAAUGUUAAUCUAACGGUUCAGAAUUGUUUUUUCUUUUAUCUCCUUCCUUCUCUCUCAGAACGUACGCCCACCGCAAACUAGGUUAGAGAGUUAUCUCAAACCACCACAAAUCUCUUUGUGACACCACGAGCCCACCUCGACCCACCACUAAUCACUGUCUACCCAUCACGAUUCCAUCUCAAACAACCAUGAUUCUCUCUUAAGCGACCUCGAUUUCUCUCUCUGGGUUUCCAUCGAACUCAUCCAUAUCAAAAGGUCUGCGCCCUCUAAAGUCUAAACCCUAGAUUUAUUUCAUCUGUAUGAUUAUUAUAUAUUUCUCUAAUUAAAAAGGUAACAACUCUUACAGAUCCUUAUAGAUUCGAACCCUCACAGAUCUGGGUUGGGAACUUCUUCAAAGGUCAGAGAUACUCGAUUUCCAUUUAUUCUUCUUCAAAUAUCAUCUUCGAUUUAUUAUUUCUUCUUCGAAUAAGUUUUCAUUUUCAGUUUAGAUAUUCAUAUUCAAAUAUCUAUUAAAGUUCUAACUUGUGUUAACUUUACAGUCUAGAAACUCUAAUGGAAGGAAGGAAGAGCAUCGUAUGUGCACUGCCGGCAUCUGGAGUGAGACCACAACUACUCCAAAAACAAAAACCACAACAAGAAGCACUCAACAGAGAACAAGAACGAGGACAGUCCUCGGGAGGAAAUGAUGUGGAGGAGAUAACCAGAACAGAGUUCAGAACCUCUCUUGGCUACUUGACACGCAUUGAGGAACCUGAAGAAGACAUCGACCCAAUGUUCAGAAACUCAUCUCUUUUCAGACGCCCACCACAAGCACAAGGACAGUCCUCGCGAACCAAGUCUGGCCGUCAUUACUAAUUGUUGUUUAUGUAUGUUGUUUAUGUCUGUUGUUUAUGUAUGUGUUUUUUUGCUAUAUGAUGAAUCAAUUGUCAGCACAUUAUAGUGCUUUUUGCAUAUUUCUAGUCUGGUUACAAUUACUAAAAAUUCUAUUUUUUAAUUUUCUUUUUUUUUACAAUAUUUUCCAAUUCUAUAUCCCAUAAAAAAAACAAAAUUAGUAAAUCAAACCGAAAAAUGUGUCAAUAUAGAAAAUAUUAGCUAUUCAGUAUUACCUAGAAUAUAAACGUUAUAGCACAAGUAAAAUACUGUAUUAUAAUAUUCAAUGGCACAAAAGAAUUGCUAUUAAAUGUUCAAAAAUCCAAAAAAAAACUGAGUUACAAAAAGGUAUUCCAUGACAAAAAACAAAUGUCAUAACAAAAUAUUUUAUGGCACACGAAAAGUGCCACAUAAAAUAUUUAAAUAGCGAAAAUAAAUCGCUAUAAAUAGGUAUAAUAUAACACAGGACCAACGCUAAAAUAUCUGUAUAUUGUUACAGCACGCGAAAAACGCUACGCUAGGGGGGAGGUCUAUUAUAGCUGCGGCUGUCACGGCGUUCUUCGAAACGCUAUGAAAACGAUAUGAUAGCGUUUGUCGAGUGCUAUUAAUACCGAUAUUUCUUGUAGUGUGUGCUCAUAAUUGGCUCGACAGCUUUGAACAAUAUGACAAUGGUAAGUUAGUUUAGUAAUUAUAUUGUACAGAAACAGAGACUUCAUUCAUGAAAUAUUUUGCUGGUUUUGGACAAAAUCAGAGGUUGCUGAAUCUAGUAAUUAAGAGGAGAUUUUCCCUAUGUUUGUGACGUUUCAAUAGACGUGUAAGUGAUAGAUUAUUAUUUAUUUUCCUUCAUUUCAUUUAUUUUCUGAUCGUAUACUUAUCUAUUUUACCAUUUAGACAACUGAUCAACUUGAGGUCGUGGGAAGAACAAGAAGGAAGAUCUCUAUGUAAUUUGUUUUUAAGUUUGAUUUCAGUGUUGGAGGAGAACUUAUGUUUUUGUGUUGUUUGUUGUUCUUUAGAUCUUAAACUUAUGGUGUGGUGUUUGUUGAAACUUAAACUUAAGAUUUCUGUACCUUUUAUGUGUUUGUCAUUUUUUGCGAUUUGGCCAAUAAAGUUGUUCUUUUUUAAUUCAGGUGGGUUACCCGCUUGAUCCGGUUGAUUAGCGUGGGGCGGGUGCGGACAUCUUGUAUAACUCGUAGCGGGUCAGGCAGAGGCAACCCUAGCGCCGCACCAUUUAAGCUCGGUUGAAGGCUCCACUAUGUUGAAGGAGAAAUUCGACCAGCGAGUAGACGAUCACUACAUUCAAUUUCAAUAAGAAAAGAUGAUAUGGUUUUGAAAAAAUGUAACAUGGCAUUAACAUAAUUGUGACAUGCACAAUUUCAUUUAUAAAUUUUAUAUAUUUUUGGUAAUGUUUUUGAAAUACGGUAAUGACUAUUAACUCGUAUAUCAUGAUUAAUGUAUAUUUUCUAUAUAAAUAUUUAUUUAUGUCAAGAUUAUUAAAAAAUAUUAAUAGGAAAUAAUCAUAUAUCACAAUUAAAUUAGUAUAUAUAUAUAUAUAUAUCAAAUUAAUAAAAAUAAGUUAAAUAUAAUUACAAAUAUAAUUUUUAAUAGAUUAUGCUAAAAACAAUAAAAAUCAGAAAGUUAUUAGAAUUUAUAUAUAUAUAUGUAUAUAUAUAUAUAUGUAUGUGUGUGUAGGCGUGCGUGUGCGCGCGUGUGCGCGCGUGUGCGCGCGCGGAUGUGUGUAUUUAAAAGUAGGUAAUAAGAGAUAUAUUUAAAAAAUAGUCACUAAAUAUAAUAUAACUAAAUCCAAACUUUCUCUUCGAGUGUGUGCGCGCGGAUGUGUGUAUUAAAGUUUAAAUGAAAUUAAAUUAAAAUAGUUAAACCAAAUCAAAAGAGAUCAUAUUACAAAAAAGUAUUUUAAUGAUUUGUUUUUUUUCAAAACGUUGAAGUUAAAAUAAUAAAAUAAAGAUGUCAAAAUGUAAACUAAAAAAUUUCUUUUAAAAUAAAAAAAAGUCGUAUUUAAAAUUAUUGUUUAUGCGCGUGUCGGAGAAAAACACGUAGUUCUAUUAUACAUAAGUGGUAAAUUUUAAAGGUAUUUUUUAUUUGUACUUUUAUUUUAUUAAGAUAUAUAUACUUUUGUUUAUUUGUGAGGAUCAUUUCAAUUUGUACGCUUUAUAUAGUUUACAAAAAAAAAAAAAAAAACUUGACGCUUUAUAUAACAUCAAAGCCAAACAAGUGAUUGCGCUAUAAAGGAUGUACACUGUGUGCAUGCACACAGAAAUAGACGCGGAUUUACCGUGUCAUGUACGGGGCAUGUGCCCCUACUAUUUUGUAAAUAUUACUUAGUUAUGGUUCGAAGUUCCCGCUUUGUGUUUUUUCUUUUUUCUUUUGUUGUAUAAUUAAUGUGUUUUCUGUUUGUCAACAUAUCAUCUAUGUUUUAUUGUUUAGCUAUUAUAGGAGCACUAGAGUUUUGACCCACGCGGGUUUAUUUUCUAUAUUUUAGUUUUUUGUUAAGCGUAUUUUCUCAAAUGUAAUAAAUGUAAUUUUAUUGUCUAAUUGAAACAUCUUUAUUGAAGUAUAUUGAACAAUAUAAGAUGUUUUGUGUUUCAUUUCAUUUAUAAUUUGAUCAUAUGUUUUUUGAUCUUCUAAUGCUUUGUUAUCUUGGUUAUUUUUUAAAAAAAUAUUGUUAGUAUUUAUGUGUCUCCUUUAAUGACAUUUAAACUAAAUAUUGUUUUUCGUGUUGGUAUUAACUAAAAUUUUUUGCUUCAAAAUUUUUGAAGAUGAUUUAUAAAUUUAAAUAAAUUUGAUUUAAUAUUUUAAGAAUUUAUAGAUUUAGAAGAGAAAAUUAUAAUGUUUUUAAUUAAACUGAAAGUUGAAUAGAGUUAACUUACAUCUUCGCUGGAAAUUUUUAUUUAUUUAGAAUUAUGUUUUUGAGAAGUAGUAUAAUACAUACAUGCAAAGAGUAAUAAGUUUGUAGGUAUAAUUAGGAGCCUUUUCCAUUUUGUUACCACUUUUUUUUUCCUCUUCAAUAAGAGUUUAGGGGGUUUGCAAAGUUUUUUUUUUUUGAAACAUAAACAGUGUGUAAAUUUUCGUAACACUAAUCAAUGCUUAUAUUUGUUUUAUUUGUUUGGUUAGUAGCAAUCCUCAAUUCACAUUGUUGCAGUUCAAGCAUGAUUAAAAGUGCAAAUGGUUAUUUCUGAACUUAUCAAUAGAAGAGUGGUUUAAAAAUAUAUAAAUUUCGUCUAUUUUUAUAAAUAUGUACAUUUCUUCUAUUUUAUACGUAAUAUUAUUAAAGAAAAAGAUAAACUUUUAUAUUCUAAUAUCUGUAGUAUGCUAUUCGGUUAAAAAUUUGGAAUUUUUAAGUUUGAUAAUACUUUUACUUCAUAUAUUAAUAAAAAAAUAAAAAUAGCUUUAUCUAUGAAGUUUUCUGAACCCAUUACAGUAGAAACUCUAUGAGUUAAUAUUCGAUAAAUUAAUAAACGCAAAAAAAUUAAUAAACUCCACCAAUUCUGAAUUGAGUCAAUAUAAAAUAUGACACAUUUCGAUAAAUUAAUAAAAUAAUAAAUUCUUGAAAUUUUUACUAGUUCUAUUUAGUUUUAUUAUCAGCUAUUUUAUAUGAAUUUAGAAAAUUUCAUUACAAAAAUCUUCUGUUCACUUCUUCCUGCCUUCCCUUAUUCUUCUUCUUUUUCAUUUAGUCAAAUGGUUUUAACAUCCAAGAUUGAGGACUAGAAAAGGAACUGAUACUCUUUCAAGUCAAUUUGGUUUUACCAUGGAUAAGUGGAUUUAUAUAAAACAAGUAGUUUAUCUCAACUUCUUGAACCCUGAUACUGGGUUUUAGUGGCAUGGAAGACCAAACCUUAAACUAAUCAAGUCUGGUCUUUAACGCUGGGCCAUCUAAACUACAAAGCUUUAUGUGUUGGGCUUGGGAUGACCAAAUUUAAUUUACAUGUGAGCCUCAUAUAAGAAAAGAGUUAGAUGUUAACGAAAAAAAUUGAUUGAAAAGAGGAAAAGCUAUGAUAAUUAUGGAUAAAUGAUUAUUAUUGAGUGACCACAAACAAUAAUAAUUUGUUAGUCAGAAAACGAAAAGCUAAUAUUUCCACGUCAGUUAUUGUCUUUUUGUUAUUUUAAAAGAAAAACAAGUAUAUUUAAUUAAAGUUGUAACUUUGUAAAUUUGUGGCCCCUUGGAAGUGAAUGGAAUAAACGACAGACCCCAUGACACCGCCACGUACUUGUUGUCCUUUAUGCAAUUUCCACGAAGUUUCGCCCGUCGAUAAGAAUUGAUGCAAUCCAAUAACUAUACAACGCGUAGCGCUUGAUAAUGAUAAGAUCGCUUACUGAUGACAUUUUGCGUCUACAAGUACUAUAUUCUAUAAUUAAAUAUGCUGAAUUAUUUGGUGUUCAUAUUUACGCUAUUAUAGUAUAAGUUUUAAAUGCCAGUAAUUAUGGUUAACACAUCACCAUCGUACAUAUUCAGACGAUAUAGCUAUAUAAGACAACGGUAUCAACUGUAUUUGCGCAUUGCAUAACUUUACGAGUGUUUUAUAUUUCUCAGAUGCUUAUAUUUUAGUGGUUACGAUUGAAUUUCAACAAUCGAUUUCUGUUAGUUAUUGUAUUAUUUGGUUUUCGGUCCCUAUAAUCCGGAAAGAAUGGAUUUGACAUUGUUUGGAACAGAUCAUACUAUGAAUUAUUGGAUUCUAUAUUACUAUUAAUGAUUAAUUUCCAAGGGAAACGAAGAUGAAUGUGUUAUGUGUCGAUAAGCUAGUAGCAUGUGACAUUUGUUUUUAAUAAUAGUAAGUAGAUGGGUUUUAUAUUCGAAUUAAAUUAUACCAUUGAAUCUAGCAAAGGCUAUUAAAAAAGGAAGGAAACAAGACAGGUUGGUGGUUGGUAUAAAUGUGCAUUGCCAGGUUUUAACACGGUUUUGGUUUGGUUUAAAGGUACCACCUAACCGGAGAGAACGUGAUAUUGCGUUUUUGUGUCUUUUACAAUAUUCAUACGUGUAAAUCUGUCAUCGAAAUAAUACUUUAGACGCAUGCAGCAUAUAUAAUCCAGACGUACUCGCAUUGCAUUGAAUUUUUAGGGUUUAUUUAUUAAUUAACUUCGUUUCUGUAUACUUGUUUUUUGCUGGUGGAGAUGUUCUUCCUCGUUAAAAGAGCUAUUCCAAACAAUUUUAAGAUUAUACGACAAAGAUAUAACAACGUAAACUAUGUUUUCUUUAACUAGAAGGAAACAGAACCUUGGACUUAAAUUUCCCUCUUAACUAGACCAGCAUGCGCUAAUACUAACAUGUAAAACAUUUCAUCUGAUUUUAUACUAUGAGUUCAACAAAACCAGUCUUCAUGCUUAAACUACUAGACUACCAUAUCCACGGACCACGGUGGUAUUAUAAUUUAUAUCUUGUAAAUGAAUUGAAUUAUAGUCUAGUCUAAUUGAUAAUUUAAAAUGUGUUUGUUGCAUAUUCAUAGCAAAUUUAGAUGAAUGUAAGCUAAACUAGUCCAGCUAUCCGCAGUUGUCGUUAGUGAUAUUGAACUAUUAAGUUUAGGUUUGUUUAGCUUUGAGCUAUAUCUCUCAGUCCCAUUUUUGUUGUUGUCGUUCAAUUAAACUAUAACAAACUAAGCAUCUUCAUAACCGAAUAACAAUUUUUUGUUGGUUGAAUUUAUUAUCAAUAAAAGAGGAACGAUAAUGUACAUUUUAAAAAUAUAAAUCCAACAGAUCAGCAUCUUUACUUUGAGUCAUCCAUCUAUCAUUAAACAGACGAAGCUCAACAUUGUAUAUAAACACCAUAGCACACAUUGAUCUCUGCAAGUCUCCAACAAUCAUCAGAUCACACAGAAGAAAAAGAGAAGAACAAAGAUUUUUUUUUCUUGGGAAUUUCCCAAGUUUUCUUUUUUCUUCUACAAUUUUUUUGUGGGCAUUUCCCAAAAAUAUCAUUUUCCUUUUUGUUUCUAAAUUUGCCUUUAUAUUUUAUAAAAAUGGGAAACUGUUUGAAUGGAGGAAGCAACCUUAAAAGAAUGGUUCAAGAAGAAGAAAAAGAAGUGAAGAAAGAUUACAACAGAAAAGACAGGAAGGUGAAGAUUGUUCUACGGAGAGAUGAGUUAGAGAAACUCAUUCUCUUCCAGUUAAACGCCGGUGGUGACGUCCAAGGCAAAGGAGAAACAACUUUAGCUUCCUUCGGCGACUUUCUCAGGGAACUAGAGGCGGAGAGGUUUGCUGGAGAGGCUGCAGCAAAGGCUGCUGAGGAAGAGGAGGAGUCUCGCCGGAGGUGUCGAAAAUGGAGGCCUUCAUUGGACAGAAUCAUUGAAUGGCCUGAAGAAACACUUGCGUAAUUACUUUUCUUAAUCCUUUUAUUUAGAUCAUUAAGUUUUUUAAUUUGUUUAAGAUGGGAUUAUUUUUGUGGGAGAAUUUGUUUUUGCCUGUUUUUUCCUACCUUUUCCCGAUGGAUUUUUUUUUCACUUGAGAAAUGUUUUGUUCUCAAAGUGAGAUAUAUCUUCGGUGUUUUGAAACUGGCAGACGCUUAUUUUACCACAGAGAAAUCCCAAAGAAAAAGUACGAAACUAUGUAUUUUAUUUUCGUCUUUCAUGUAUAACGUUCAAUGUGUCAAGUGUUAAAACAUAAAUAAACUUGUGUUGCUUUGUUUUUUAUAUAAUGGCAAUCUAUUUUCAUCAAACUUACACCCUUGACCAAUGUAGUCAAGACUUUGUCCCUCAACGUACGUCAUGAAGAUGUAUUGAUAACGUAAUUCGACGUGGUUUAUGCAUCAAAUAAGUCUAUCAACCUAAUUAAUUUGUUAACAUUAAGGUAUGAUUUAGCAUCAAAUACUAAAUAGUGAUGGUAGUUGAUUGUCUUGUUUAUUCAAUGCUACACUUUGGCGUUUCUUCGUGACCUGCCCUACAACGAACACCGCAUAACUGUUAUGAAAGUUGACUAAUACGUACGUCUUUAAAACUAAUAUCAUCAAAAUUCUAUCUACUUCGGCAAAGUGCAAACUGCAAACUGCUAUCAAUGAGGACAGAUCUAUGUGCAAAAAAAAAGAGGACAGAUCUAUGUGCAAAAGUAAAAAUGAGGACAGAUCUAUGUGCCUCGUUGGACAUAUGGAAAACAAAAAGUAGAUGAAGAAUAUAUAUAUUUUUUAGAAUUACUAUAUACUUUUAAAGUGAAUGUUUAUUAAUUAAGUUUCGCAUAUAUUUGAUUAACCUUACAACAUUAUAUUAGAUCCAUUAUAGCUUUUUACUGCGAGAAAUAAUUCAUUCUGGAUCAAUUAUAAAUUACUUAAUAUAUUAAAGUUGAAUUAACAGUCGUUUUUAUACCAAAAUUUUGUCUUAAUUAAGCAUUUUCCAGCGGAUUUUAAUCCAAAAGUACAAUAAAACCAACCUCUACGCCUCAAAUUGUAUUGAUACCCAUCAUCAUGAUAGUAUAAGAUUCAGAUGAUAUGUUUCAGUUUCAUAUUUGAUUAUUUAAAUCUUCCCCAGUUCGUUCCUACUUACACAGCAGUAUUAUACUAUCAUGAUACUAUUAUCUACGUGACAACAAUAAAAGUAAACCCAAAACCUUGUUAUAAUAUAUACUAUGUGACAAGAUAUAUACACACGAUGACUUAAUAGAUAUAUAUUACUCUAAAACUACAAAACUUCGACGAAUAAGUUUGAAAUUAAAAAAAAAAAACUAAAAGUUAUUCGAUAACCAGCACGCAGCCACUUCCUUUUUCUCUCAUCAUUACAACUUGGAAGCCACCACCACAACAUCGAGUUGAAGCUGAUGAUUCGAAAAGUAUGCAAUCUGGUCCACUACAUGCUCCAAAUCCAAAACGUUGUCGUCUUUACAUUUCGCUAGUAGUCUCUGAGCUUCCUGUUUGGUCAUCUUGAUCUUUACCCUCACUACUUCCUCCUUCCCUUCAACCUUAUUCGAACCUUCUUUCUCUUCCAGAGGCUUCUCCUCAGGUUCGAACUCAUACCUCACUGGCUUGUUGGGCUCGAAAAUCUUAUUCUUCUCCAACUGAAACCUCACAACUUUACGUGGCUUCAAAGGCUUUGCCAUCUCUUCAUCUUCAUCUUCGAACCUUAGGGAUCUGUCAAUCCUCUUGGCUCUUUGCAAGCAACGAGACUUUUUGAUGGGUUCUACUGAACACUCUGAUCCAUUCAGAGGCGAUGUUAAGUCGUCUUUGAAGAUUGAUUUUGCUUCUAGAACGCUCUCGUAUCUUUCUUGAAGUCCGUUGAAGCAUUUAGCUAAUGAAUCCAUCAUUUUUUUUUCCUAUGUUGAUACAAAAGGAGGGAAAGCUUUUGAGUUAUCUUCUUGUUUUUUUUUGCAGAGUUGCAAGUAUAUUUUUCUACAUCUUACCAAAUGAGAGAUGAGAAUAUAUAUAGGCGACCAAGACUGUGAUUUGACUGAUAGGACACGUAAUGGCGUGUGCUUUGGUGUAAAAGGAAGAUGUAACUUUGCCGUGGGGGUACUAGAAUUUAUUCAGAUUUGUUUUGUUUUAUUACUGUGAGAAAAAAUGUAAGAAGCCUCUCUUACUUAUUAAUACAAAACAAUUUAUAACUUCAUUAGUUCAGUACUUCAGUUGACUGUCGAUAUUGUCACGAGAAGAUUAAGUUUACUUGAAUUUGAGGGGUAAACUAAGUGGUUAUGAAUUUAUUUAUAACGAUCAUAUAAAUAUACAUGCCUGUCUGAUCAUGAGUUUGGAAGCAGUUAAAUGAGUCAUGGCCUAAUGAAAUUAUGAUAAACGAAGCAAACGUAAUAUCAUUAACUAGUCAAAAGCUUUAUCAUGAGUCAUGACGUUAAAGGUUCCCCUCUUAUGCGUCUGAAAAGGAUAUUAAGUAAAUAAUGUCACAUUUCUCUUGUUAUCAAUCAAUCACUAUCUAUGAGAAAUAUCAUCAAAUACCAUUCGUUCUAAUACAUUUUAAAAUACAAAAUUUCCACAAACAAAAAUAAUGCCGUGCCACUAGGGGAGUUCUAUAUGAAAUGGUCAAUUUCUCCAUUUUGAAUUAGUUUAACUAUAGUAGAAAGAAAAAAAUACUCAGUAAUACUAAUCUAAUAUAGUAAUAUUUCAGUAACAUCCACACACAGCUAACAAAACCUACCAAAUAUGAACACAUUUGUUUGUCACAGAUUCUUUAUGUAAACUAUCGACUACUGAAUAGUAGCUGACUACGAUGUCCUGAUAAAUAUAAUCGCGUAUGAAAUUAUAUGGUAUAGUUAAUAGACCGACAUCUAAAAGUAUUAAUAACAAAACAUAUUAGAAAAUUCGUGUAUAUUUUAUAACAUUCAUUACUACAAUAGGGAAUUUUAUACGUAGAAUUGUAUAUAUUAGAGUAGAAGGAAAAGAAACACAUAGGUGGUUUAAUUUUAGAUAACGCGUUUUAAAGCUUUACCAAUUUUUGGUGUUUGACGACCAACCACUUCAAAAGCUUAGAGGUUGACCAAGUCAUGGUUUUAAAGUUUCCCAUCAAACACUCAUAUGCUCAUGUCUCACUAUCUUGGGGAAAGCAUCAUACCAUCAUACUAUAUACCCAAGAACACAAAUCUGAUAAUAUUAUUCCAAGUUACCAAAAAUGUUAGUGGUCUAGUGAUGCAGUGUUCGAUAAUUUUUCUUUUUGUAUUCCGAAUCAAAACUUCCAAAAACAAAUUCCAAAUUAAAGGAGGUCAUGGACCUCAUAAAAACUAAUAAUAUUAUGUAUAAUUUUUUUUAUUAAUCUGUGGGUAUCUAAAACCUAUAGAAAAGUCGAAACUAAUUUUUAAAUAGAGAUACAAUACUCAGAUAUAUUUUUAAUGUGAAUAUUUAAAUGGACUGUAACAAUGGACUUGUAUAUCUAUCGUAUAGAUACGUGGCUAUACGAUAGAGUAUAGUGAGAGCAUUUCGAAUCCAGAAUCACAUGCCACUCACCAUGGUUAAUAUUAUUAGAAAUUCACAAACACAAAACUUAAUCUAUGGAAACUAUGGCAAGAAUAUGUUUGAUAACUUUGCCCAAUAAAAAAGAAUAUGUUUGAUAGCUUACAAAAUGGUGAAUUGGCAGAAUGAUCACCCGAUUGGUCAUGUUCUUACCAAUCACACAUUCACUCUGGGCAUGUUCUUACCAAUAUCACCUUCUAUAUAUGUAUUGCAAUUUAAAUUCAGUGAUUUUAAAAUUCACAAAACCUCAAUUUACUCCAAAGAAAGGAACAUAUUCGAAUUCCGGUGACUGAGAUAAACCAAUGCAGUGUCACUUAAUUAGACCACUGGCCUACACUACACAAGAGUCGAGAGGAGUAGGAACCUUAGACAAAACAUUGGGCGAACCGGGAUCGAUUUCCCUUUGGUACUGCAAUACAAAAACCGGAGAAUACCGGAAAAUAGAAAACAUCGAAAGGGCUAAUUAAAUGGGCUGUAUAACUUAAAUGGGCUUAACUACAUCAUAAUGGCCCACGCUUGUAGAAAACUGAAAACUAAAGCCGAAGAAGGUUCGAAGAAGAGACAGAAAAUUUCCAAAGUCGCCGUCAACAUUCUCCAUUGGGCAACACACGAACGAACGAACGAGAAGGGAGAGAAGAGAUGAACGUCGUACAUGGAUUGAAGAGGAUUCCUCGCAUUAAGUUCCCUCAGCGUCACCUCAAACCUUCAGGUUUUGAUCUCUCUCCUAUGCAGAGCUGAAUCUCUCUAUCUCCUUCUUCGUUUUAACAACAAGUUUCAUGAUUUGUAUUCUAAUAUUCCCCGAUCUGGUGAAAACACCCCAAUGAUCCAUCGAUUUGCAUGUGUUUUAUAUAUAUAUAUAUAUAUAUAUAUUCACGGUCUCUAGAUUCUUAAGACUGUUAGGAUAUGAAACGUAUCGAGAACAUGUUGGUUUAUGAUUUUGUGUAAGAAAACGGAUUCCUCGUACAUGAUGAUGUGUUUAUGUCUGAAAUCAUCACUUUCUUUGUCCUUUUCUGCUGGAAAAUGAUAUAAGUUGCUUUUCUUUUUCUUUUAUCAGUCAUUUGUAGUUUGUUUAAGCUUGUGACAAUUGGGGGUGUUAAAAGUUUUAACCUUUAUGAUAAAAUUACAGAGGGAGCGAAGCAGGUGGAGAAUGAAGCAGAUACAUUCUUCUUCUCCAACCUCAACACCUCCCCAAAGACGACUAUAGGCGGGAAGGCCUCGUUGCAGCCCAAGCGCACCCCUGUUUCAAACGAGGAGAUGGAAGCCAUUUUGGUACGUUACUUGUUGUUGUUGUAAAUGAAGUCUUUCACAGUGUUUUUUUUUUUAAAGUUUGCUUACACAUGUCUGAGGUUAUUCUCCUAACUACUUACCAACCAACUACUAAGUUUAUCGCUUAAAAAAAUUGAACAUUGAGUUGAUUUUUUUCUAACCUGCUUGUCCUUUUUCUGCUCAAUCUUUCACAGUUGGGAGGCUGCAUCUGAUCAUAGAGAUGGUGUGGACCUCUUCUCUUCUUCGCCAUUCAGAAUAUACUCACGACUCAAGAUUUGGUUGAUGUCUUUGACACAAUAAAACAGACUCAAUUUGCAGUCUUUAAAAACCUUUUUUACUUCUAUUAUAUACACUGAUUGAUUGCAUUUUACUCCCUAUUAAUGAUUUGGAAUUCAUGGAUUUUUAUAUUACAUUGCUGAAUAUUUUUCUAGAACCAGUCAGAAAACCUUGAAGGUACGUUUACAUUAUUACAUAUACAAUUCACAGUGAGAGUAGAGAGUAGAUUCAACUUUAGGGUGCUGCUUCCUUUUGCAUCUGUUCAAUAAGAGGCUCAAGAACACAAGACUUUGGAUUCUUACCCGGUGGUCCUUUCUCUCUUCUUUCAAGCUCCUCAAGCCUGAACGUUAUCAGACGGUCCCAGUUCCCUCCUUCGAACAAUACGCCAGCUUUCCCGUCCGUGAUCCUCUGCACUAUCCCACAGUACAUGUGGUAAGGACUGUUUGAGUUCUUGACUAUAGCUAUCAUCCCCGGCAUGAGAAGCGGUAGCUCUGGAGCUCUCGGCUUCUUCUCCGUGGCAAAUGUGGACACAACAUCGCCGCUUCCUUGCUUAGGUGGUGGUGGUGGGUUUUGUUCGAUGAACGUUUUGAGUCCCUUCUCGCCGCCGGGGAAGCCUCCGGUGAGACCCAUCAUCUCUUUCUCGAAACCGUCUUCAGGAACUUGAAACGACAAGCUAUUG